Molecule: long non-coding RNA, 370 nt
Organism: Gymnodraco acuticeps
Lineage: Eukaryota; Metazoa; Chordata; Actinopteri; Perciformes; Bathydraconidae
Exons: 5
Source: RefSeq, a predicted model, not a curated record
UGGUGCACAUCGACACCAAUCACAAGCUAAUCAGAUACAACUUUGUUAUCUUUGGAGGAAUAGAUGGCUAUUCAAGAAAGAUUAUGUACUUGAAGGUAGCAGACAACAACCGGUCUGACACCCACUUGGUCUUCUUCAAUGAAGCUGUGAACGAGCAUGGGUAUCCACUGAGAGUGAGAGGAGAUCAUGGAGGGGAAAAUGUUAGAGUAGCAGAAUUAAUGUUCUCAGUUCGUGGAACUGACAUUAACAGCUUUAUUGCAGGGAAAAGCGUACACAACUAACGAAUUGAACGUCUCUGGCGUGAUGUGUUCAAGUGUUACGGGUGUGUUUUACAACACCUUGCACUCUCUUGAGGAACAACACCUGCUUC